RNAcentral lists this ribosomal RNA (514 nucleotides) under uncultured bacterium. Its description in RNAcentral is "partial 16S ribosomal RNA". It matches the Rfam family "Bacterial small subunit ribosomal RNA", at positions 28 to 523 of the family's 1533-position model. The record is from RNAcentral.
GAUGAACGCUGGCGGCGUGCCUAAUACAUGCAAGUCGAGCGAACAGACGAGGAGCUUGCUCCUCUGACGUUAGCGGUGGACGGGUGAGUAACACGUGGAUAACCUACCUAUAAGACUGGGAUAACUUCGGGAAAACCGGAGCUAAUACCGGAUAACAUGUUGAACCGCAUGGUUCAACAGUGAAAGACGGUCUUGCUGUCACUUAUAGAUGGAUCCGCGCCGCAUUAGCUAGUUGGUAAGGUAACGGCUUACCAAGGCAACGAUGCGUAGCCGACCUGAGAGGGUGAUCGGCCACACUGGAACUGAGACACGGUCCAGACUCCUACGGGAGGCAGCAGUAGGGAAUCUUCCGCAAUGGGCGAAAGCCUGACGGAGCAACGCCGCGUGAGUGAAGAAGGUCUUCGGAUCGUAAAACUCUGUUAUUAGGGAAGAACAAAUGUGUAAGUAACUAUGCACGUCCUGACGGUACCUAAUCAGAAAGCCACGGCUAACUACGUGCCAGCAGCCGCCGUAA